Molecule: long non-coding RNA, 649 nt
Organism: Bombus huntii
Lineage: Eukaryota; Metazoa; Arthropoda; Insecta; Hymenoptera; Apidae
Exons: 6
Source: RefSeq, a predicted model, not a curated record
AGAUCACGCUGAAACAUGUUUUAGUUACCUCCAUGUCUUCAUCGAACGGCAUACAAUUCUCACUUUUAAGGCUGACACUUGUAACUUUGUAACCACGGUAGCUUGUGAGAUGAAUUGCUAACAACUAGAUAGCCCUGUUUAAGAUUAUCGCACACAUAAGAAUUUACCCAGAGUCGGCAAAAAAUAAAUGUUCAGCUUCAAACUUAACAUUCAUACUUUUGGAUCAUUUUAAACGUUGCAGCGUGAUUACGCUGGUGAUUCACAAAGAUGUUUAAAAUGAGGUUUGAAAGUUAUUUAUUAAAAAGUGGAGCGGCCACAUAAGUCGGUCGAAAAAUUAAUGGAAAAUUAUAAAAAUGUUGUAAAGUAAAAGUUUUAGAAUGUCAUUUUUUUUCUCAACUUCUACAAAUAUUAAUACAAAUUAUUGAAUGAAGAUAUAAUACUUACAAAGAGUUAUUGCAAUAUGGUUACUGAAUGAAGAUAUAAUACUUACAAAGAAUUAUUGCAAUAUGGUUACUGAAUGAAGAUAUAAUACUUAUAAAAAGUUAUUGCGAUAUGAUGAGAAGAUAAUCCACUAAAGCAGUAUCAUCUAAUUUGUACUUUUAACAAGAAAGUAACUGUAUAUAUAAUAAAUACUAUUUUGUUAAAUAUA